UACGAAGGGGGCGAGCGUUGUUCGGAAUUAUUGGGCGUAAAGCGCGCGUAGGCGGUCGGAUAAGUCUUGUGUGAAAUCUUCGGGCUCAACUCGAAGUCUGCACAGGAAACUAUCUGGCUUGAGUGUGGGAGAGGUGAGUGGAAUUCCUGGUGUAGCGGUGAAAUGCGUAGAUAUCAGGAGGAACACCUGUGGCGAAAGCGGCUCACUGGACCACAACUGACGCUGAGGAGCGAAAGCUAGGGGAGCAAACAGG
This 253-nucleotide ribosomal RNA is filed under the name uncultured bacterium. Its description in RNAcentral is "partial 16S ribosomal RNA". It matches the Rfam family "Bacterial small subunit ribosomal RNA", at positions 524 to 776 of the family's 1533-position model. The record is from RNAcentral.